ACGCUCGACACCUACGGGGGGCAGCAGUUGGGAAUAUUGGACAAUGGAGGAAACUCUGAUCCAGUGACGCCGCGUGAAGGAAGAAGGUCUUCGGAUUGUAAACUUAUUUUGUCAGGGAAGAAAAAUGACUGUACCUGAAGAAAAAGCACCGGCUAACUACGUGCCAACAGCCGCGGUAAUCUGAGCGGGCUGGCAAGGC
RNAcentral lists this ribosomal RNA (199 nucleotides) under uncultured bacterium. Its description in RNAcentral is "partial 16S ribosomal RNA". It matches the Rfam family "Bacterial small subunit ribosomal RNA", at positions 328 to 539 of the family's 1533-position model. The record is from RNAcentral.